UACGUAGGGUGCAAGCGUUGUCCGGAAUUAUUGGGCGUAAAGAGCUCGUAGGCGGUCUGUCGCGUCGGCUGUGAAAUCCCGAGGCUCAACCUCGGAGUCUGCAGUCGAUACGGGCAAACUAGAGUAUUGCAGGGGAGACUGGAAUUCCUGGUGUAGCGGUGAAAUGCGCAGAUAUCAGGAGGAACACCGGUGGCGAAGGCGGGUCUCUGGGCAAUAACUGACGCUGAGGAGCGAAAGCGUGGGGAGCGAACAGG
RNAcentral lists this ribosomal RNA (254 nucleotides) under uncultured bacterium. Its description in RNAcentral is "partial 16S ribosomal RNA". It matches the Rfam family "Bacterial small subunit ribosomal RNA", at positions 524 to 776 of the family's 1533-position model. The record is from RNAcentral.